AGCUUUGCACAGUGGCAGUAUCAUAGCCAAGGAGGUUUAUCCGAGGCGUGAUUAUUGCUAAUUGGAACAGAAAUGGGCAGAAAUUCUUUUCCACUUUAUUUUGCUCAGGGUAAUUCCUCCUCCCCAAAUAUGUUGAGAACCAUAGUAUAAAGGAAAAGAAAAGAACCUU
This 169-nucleotide small nuclear RNA is filed under the name Canis lupus familiaris (dog). RNAcentral's name for it is "U4 spliceosomal RNA (ENSCAFG00000027451.2, ENSCAFG00030009576.1, ENSCAFG00040011151.1, ENSCAFG00805025695.1)". The stretch from base 1 to 69 matches the Rfam family "U4 spliceosomal RNA". The record is from RNAcentral. Lineage: Eukaryota; Metazoa; Chordata; Mammalia; Carnivora; Canidae.